UUCCAUGAUUUGGACAUUGUUUCCCACAAC
RNAcentral lists this non-coding RNA (30 nucleotides) under Rattus norvegicus (Norway rat). The record is from RNAcentral. Lineage: Eukaryota; Metazoa; Chordata; Mammalia; Rodentia; Muridae.